Mya arenaria is the source of this 445-nucleotide long non-coding RNA. RefSeq lists it as uncharacterized. The transcript has 2 exons. Lineage: Eukaryota; Metazoa; Mollusca; Bivalvia; Myida; Myidae. The record is from RefSeq and is a predicted model, not a curated record.
CCAGUUACAACUAGUUGAUAUAUCGCAUAACAGAGUAACAGAACUCAUUGUCAUUGCCUUUUAAAAAUAAGACUAACAAUCGCAAACAGCCUUCAGAAUGUUUUCCACGAGACUACUGGUGUCGGUGUUUUUCUUUGGCUCCAUGGUCGUGUUGGCAAGUUCCUUGUGCUUGAACCAAAACAAUGAACCGAUGAAUGAUGGGGAUACAUAUGUGAUGAACGAUGAUCCAUGCACAAGUUGCAUUUGUCAGCAGGGUACAUUGGCUUGCAUGUCCGAUAUGUGUUAUUUGAAGCCCUGCCCUCCCGGAACAAAACCCAUUAGGAUACCGACGAAAUGCUGCGAGAGGACAUGUGAGCAAACUCGGGGAUUCAAGGCGAAACUUGCCAAAAAGAUAAAUGCAAUGCAAUAAUUUGUAGUUCGGUUAUAAAUAAAACUUUUCAGCUCA